Molecule: long non-coding RNA, 552 nt
Filed under: Vitis vinifera (wine grape)
Lineage: Eukaryota; Viridiplantae; Streptophyta; Magnoliopsida; Vitales; Vitaceae
Description: long non-coding RNA (VVIN_LNC007815)
Source: RNAcentral
AACCACGUCUACUUCCCAAUUACAUAUCAACAAUUUAUCAAUUAGCUAUACAUUUUUGCGUAAAAUGAAAGAAAUACAAACCCAUGGCAGAACCAUCUUUAAUUCUCCUUUCCGGCCACCCCAUGAUCUAUUGAUCUCCGAAUUACCACUCGAGUCUCCUGCCCGGGACUCGCAUCACAGUGGACGAGAGGCACAUCAUUAGCAUCGUCGGAGUCAUCUUGGGUUUCAAUAUUGACGCAAGAGAAGCGCUCUAGAGACAUGAAAAACAACGCAGCAACGCCAUUUACGACGCGCUUUUUGCAUGCAGGCACACAAGUGGUGCACGGUGUCCGGGCCUUGGGCUCGAUCAACCUCUCUCUCUCGUUGCCAAUAAUGCCGCUGUAACUCUUCGAAGUAUUCGCCCCAUCCAUGAAUUAACUAGACGGGAAGGCUGAUCUUGGCCACAGAAAAACUAAAGUUAAAAAGAGUAUAGGCUUCUCUUACUUAGGAAAUCCCAAUAAAUGAUGCCAAAAAAACAAAAAAAAACCAAGGAAGAUUCUGACUUCUGACUAG